GAUUUUACAGGAAAAGCAAGUUUAACAAGUAAAUGCAUAGAGAUAAAGGCUAAUGGCUACUUGAGAAAGGGGGUGUCAUGAGUAGUUUGCAGGUCAGUGCUUUGUUCGAUAAAGGGGUUCAGAAAGGAUUAUGCAGAGACGGCCAGUCUGGGUGUGUUUUGGCUCCCCAAAGUUCACCAAAAGUUUAGACCCAACAAUA
Molecule: long non-coding RNA, 199 nt
Organism: Gopherus flavomarginatus (Mexican gopher tortoise)
Lineage: Eukaryota; Metazoa; Chordata; Testudines; Testudinidae
Exons: 2
Source: RefSeq, a predicted model, not a curated record